UACGUACUGUGCGAACGUUAUUCGGAAUCACUGGGCUUAAAGGGUGCGUAGGCGGCCAAUUAAGUAGGGUGUGAAAGGCUUCGGCUCAACCGGAGCAUAGCGCUCUAGACUGAUUGGCUCGAGUGAGAUAGGGGUGUGCGGAACUUCCAGUGGAGCGGUGAAAUGUGUUGAUAUUGGAAGGAACGCCGGUGGCGAAAGCGGCACACUGGGUCUUAACUGACGCUGAGGCACGAAAGCCAGGGGAGCGAACGGG
This 253-nucleotide ribosomal RNA is filed under the name uncultured bacterium. RNAcentral describes it as "partial 16S ribosomal RNA". It matches the Rfam family "Bacterial small subunit ribosomal RNA", at positions 524 to 776 of the family's 1533-position model. The record is from RNAcentral.